AGAAAGGCUGUAACUCAGUGGUAGAGCAUCGGCCUUGCAUCCAGAAGGUCCCAGGUUCAAUCCCCAGCCUCUCCA
Molecule: non-coding RNA, 75 nt
Organism: Podarcis lilfordi (Lilford's wall lizard)
Lineage: Eukaryota; Metazoa; Chordata; Lepidosauria; Squamata; Lacertidae
Source: the annotation of a GenBank genome assembly